Molecule: long non-coding RNA, 479 nt
Organism: Pipra filicauda (Wire-tailed manakin)
Lineage: Eukaryota; Metazoa; Chordata; Aves; Passeriformes; Pipridae
Exons: 3
Source: RefSeq, a predicted model, not a curated record
GGUCCCCCCGAACCCGAGCCCCAGACCAAGCCGUGCUGUCCAUCUGGCCAGAAGGGAGGAGCUGCCGCUGGAAGAGCCGGGGAGAGAUGGGACCUGUCACUCGGCAGCGGAGCGCGGUGCGGGCACAGCGGGAAGGAGCCCUGGAGUCUCUGAGGAGGGGGCUCCGCUCCUCCAGGACCCUCCUGCUUUGUGAGAAGUGAGGACUCUCAUCUCAAGAGAAGGUUUUAUAUUUCCUUAAAAACGAUCAGUUAUGGACAAGAGAAGACACAUUCAGGACACUUGGGAGCAGAAGACUUGUAGACUCACUGUCACAGAAAGCUAACAGUUGAGUCUGAAGGAAGCUGCUGAGUUGAAGUCCCAGUACCUUGCACAUGUGACAGUGCUCAAGGAAGAUGGUAAUACUUAACUCUUGCAGAGUUCACUGGAUCUUCAAAGUCAUAUAGAAAUGUUGCAUGAUUUCCGUGGUACAGAUUGAAAAC